UAGGUGGGAUCCUGUUCAUAUGGACCAACAGCAACGAGCGAGGCAGGACCUCCUGGAGGCGGCCAUCUGGGUGCUGUACUACUCCCCCCCCCCCCCCCAACUGGUCUCACACUGGAAGGUUCGGGUGUCCACCGUCAGAGGACAGAAGGCAGAGAGGACUUCUGGGUACUGAACACCUAUAACAUGGUGGGAAGACAUGCCCUGUCACCAGACAUCCGCGACAGCAGUCUUUCAUAUAUUUUUUGUCGCUCCCUCUCCCAUUUUUUUAAUGGGAGGGGGACUGCAAGGGGUCAGGGAAUCCUGCACACACACACAGUUAAACUUCCAGAGACGAAGCUGGAACUGUAUACCAAAAGUGAGGUAAAACACACUGAAAUGCUUUGUCUAAUUAUCCCUUCUAUAACCAGGCCAGAAAAUGGGCCUAGUUUCCUGUAUGGUAAAAUAUUACAAUUUAAAGUAGCUCA
Long non-coding RNA from Procambarus clarkii (red swamp crayfish), 464 nucleotides. RefSeq lists it as uncharacterized. Lineage: Eukaryota; Metazoa; Arthropoda; Malacostraca; Decapoda; Cambaridae. The record is from RefSeq and is a predicted model, not a curated record.